AAAUAUAGUCUUAUUUUUUUUUUUAUAUUUGAGUUAUUAAAUAAUGAAAUAUAUAAGUAAGUAAUUUUGAAAAAGAUUUUUUUGUAAAAAUAAAAAUAUUUUUAAAAAGGUUUAAGUAAUUAAAAAUAAAAAAAUAAAUUAAAUUUUAUAGUUUAUAAAGUAAAGAAAUUGAAAGUUGAAAUAAAAUUGAAAAAAUUUUUUUGUAAAAGAAUAAUUAUUUUUUUGUUCCUUGUGUAUCAGGAUUAAUUAAAUGAAAAAUUUGUUAAUAAAAAUUAUUUAUAAUUUAAAGAAAUUUAAAAUUUUUUGAGUUUUAUUGUGUAAAAACUAUUUUUAAAAAAAUUUUAAAAAUUAAAAGUUAAUUGUUCUUAAAGUUAUAUAAUUUUUAAAGAAAUAAAUUUAAUUUAAUAUAAUUUUUUAUUAUUUUGUUUAUUUUAAAAUAUAAAAUAAAUAAUUUUGAAUUAUAUAAAUAUUUUAAGGGUUGAGCUUUAAAAUAAAAAAUUAAAAAUUAAGAUUUUUAAAAUAAAAAUUAAAUAAAAAUAAAAAUAAUCUUAAAAAUAGGUAAUUUUAAUUAAAAUGUUUUAAUUAAUUUUUUUUAUUUUAUUAUUUAAUUUAUAUUUAAUUUUAAUUUUUUAUUUAAAUAAUUAUUAAAUUAAAAAUAAUAAAUUGAUAAUAAUUAAAUUAGUAAAUUUCAAAAUAAUAUGUAUUAAAAUAAAAUUAAUUUUAAUAUAAUGAAUUCGGCAAUAUUAUUUUUGUCUGUUUAACAAAAACAUUGUUUUUUAAAAUUUUUAAAAAAUAAAGCCUGCACACUGAAUAAUAAAAUUUUAAAGAGCCGCGGUAUUUUGACCGUGCAAAGGUAGCAUAAUCAUUAGUUUUUUAAUUGAAGACUGGAAUGAAAGGUUUAAUAAAAAAUAAGCUUUAUUAUAUUAAUUAAAAUUGAAGUUAUUAUUUUAGUAAAAAAACUAAAAUAAUAAUAAAAGACGAUAAGACCCUAUAAAGCUUUAUAUAAUUUUUGUUAAUAAUUAUUUUAGAAUAAUAAAAUUUUUAAUUUUAAAAUUUAUUAAAUUGGGGUGAUUUAAAGAUUUAAAAAACUCUUUAUAAAUAAUUUUAUUAAUAAAUAAUAAAAUCGUUAAAAUUGAUCCUAAUAUUUUGGAUUAAAAAAUUAAGUUACUUUAGGGAUAACAGCGUAAUUUUUUUUGAGAGUUCUUAUCGAUAAAAAAGUUUGCGACCUCGAUGUUGGAUUAAGAUAAAAUUUUAGGUGUAGAAGUUUAAUUUUUUAGUCUGUUCGACUAUUUUUUCUUACAUGAUCUGAGUUCAAACCGGUUUAAGCCAGGUUGGUUUCUAUCUUUAUUAAAAUAUUAUGUUAUAGUACGAAAGGACCUAAUGUAAAAAUUAAAAUUUUAUUAAAAUGAAUUAAAUUAAAGUUUUUAAAAUAUUUAAAUAAAAAAUUAGUAAAUAUAUUUAAUAAUAAAGAAUUUAUUAAA
Molecule: ribosomal RNA, 1481 nt
Filed under: Polypedilum sp.
Lineage: Eukaryota; Metazoa; Arthropoda; Insecta; Diptera; Chironomidae
Description: 16S ribosomal RNA
Source: RNAcentral